UAUACAACUUUCAGCAACGGAUCUCUUGGCUCUCGCAUCGAUGAAGGACGCAGCGAAACGCGAUAAGUAAUGUGAAUUGCAGACACGUGAAUCAUCGAAUCUUUGAACGCACCUUGCGCUCCUUGGUGAUCUGAGGAGCAUGCCUGUUUGAGUGUCAUUA
This 160-nucleotide ribosomal RNA is filed under the name uncultured Termitomyces. RNAcentral describes it as "5.8S ribosomal RNA". It matches the Rfam family "5.8S ribosomal RNA". From Rfam's summary of the family: 5.8S ribosomal RNA (5.8S rRNA) is a component of the large subunit of the eukaryotic ribosome. Lineage: Eukaryota; Fungi; Basidiomycota; Agaricomycetes; Agaricales; Lyophyllaceae. The record is from RNAcentral.